AUUGAACGCUGGCGGCAUGCCUUACACAUGCAAGUCGAACGGCAGCACGGGUGCUUGCACCUGGUGGCGAGUGGCGAACGGGUGAGUAAUACAUCGGAACAUGUGCUGGAGUGGGGGAUAGCCCGGCGAAAGCCGGAUUAAUACCGCAUACGAUCUACGGAUGAAAGCGGGGGACCUUCGGGCCUCGCGCUAUAGGGUUGGCCGAUGGCUGAUUAGCUAGUUGGUGGGGUAAAGGCCUACCAAGGCGACGAUCAGUAACUGGUCUGAGAGGACGACCAGCCACACUGGGACUGAGACACGGCCCAGACUCCUACGGGAGGCAGCAGUGGGGAAUUUUGGACAAUGGGCGAAAGCCUGAUCCAGCAAUGCCGCGUGUGUGAAGAAGGCCUUCGGGUUGUAAAGCACUUUUGUCCGGAAAGAAAUCCUUGGCCCUAAUACGGUCGGGGGAUGACGGUACCGGAAGAAUAAGCACCGGCUAACUACGUG
RNAcentral lists this ribosomal RNA (486 nucleotides) under uncultured bacterium. Its description in RNAcentral is "partial 16S ribosomal RNA". It matches the Rfam family "Bacterial small subunit ribosomal RNA", at positions 30 to 507 of the family's 1533-position model. The record is from RNAcentral.